This 477-nucleotide ribosomal RNA is filed under the name Ruegeria sp. HDEN6. RNAcentral's name for it is "bacterial SSU rRNA". It matches the Rfam family "Bacterial small subunit ribosomal RNA", at positions 382 to 877 of the family's 1533-position model. The record is from RNAcentral. Lineage: Bacteria; Pseudomonadati; Pseudomonadota; Alphaproteobacteria; Rhodobacterales; Roseobacteraceae.
CCUGAUCCAGCCAUGCCGCGUGAGUGAUGAAGGCCUUAGGGUCGUAAAGCUCUUUCGCCUGUGAAGAUAAUGACGGUAGCAGGUAAAGAAACCCCGGCUAACUCCGUGCCAGCAGCCGCGGUAAUACGGAGGGGGUUAGCGUUGUUCGGAAUUACUGGGCGUAAAGCGCACGUAGGCGGACUGGAAAGUUGGGGGUGAAAUCCCGGGGCUCAACCCCGGAACUGCCUCCAAAACUAUCAGUCUAGAGUUCGAGAGAGGUGAGUGGAAUUCCAAGUGUAGAGGUGAAAUUCGUAGAUAUUUGGAGGAACACCAGUGGCGAAGGCGGCUCACUGGCUCGAUACUGACGCUGAGGUGCGAAAGUGUGGGGAGCAAACAGGAUUAGAUACCCUGGUAGUCCACACCGUAAACGAUGAAUGCCAGUCGUCGGGUAGCAUGCUAUUCGGUGACACACCUAACGGAUUAAGCAUUCCGCCUGGG